This 450-nucleotide ribosomal RNA is filed under the name uncultured bacterium. RNAcentral describes it as "partial 16S ribosomal RNA". It matches the Rfam family "Bacterial small subunit ribosomal RNA", at positions 354 to 796 of the family's 1533-position model. The record is from RNAcentral.
GUGGGGAAUAUUCCGCAAUGGACGAAAGUCUGACGGAGCAACGCCGCGUGAGUGAUGAAGGUUUUCGGACUGUAAAGCUCUGUUGUUUAGGACGAAAGUGCCUGUUGCGAAUAGUUACAGGUAUUGACGGUACUGAACGAGGAAGCCACGGCUAACUACGUGCCAGCAGCCGCGGUAAUACGUAGGUGGCAAGCGUUGUCCGGAAUUAUUGGGCGUAAAGAGCAUGUAGGCGGGAAUCUAAGUCUGUUAUGAAAAUGCGGGGCUCAACCCCGUAUUGCGAUGGAAACUGGGUUUCUUGAGUGCAGGAGAGGAAAGGGGAAUUCCCAGUGUAGCGGUGAAAUGCGUAGAUAUUGGGAGGAACACCAGUGGCGAAGGCGCCUUUCUGGACUGUGUCUGACGCUGAGAUGCGAAAGCCAGGGUAGCGAACGGGAUUAGAAACCCCAGUAGUCC